Molecule: long non-coding RNA, 1524 nt
Filed under: Cavia porcellus (domestic guinea pig)
Lineage: Eukaryota; Metazoa; Chordata; Mammalia; Rodentia; Caviidae
Description: lncRNA (ENSCPOG00000030517.1)
Source: RNAcentral
AUGGAUUUACCUAUCAGAGCCAGAAGUUGCUCGCUCUGCCCGCCCAAGAAGGUCCGGCUUUCCCUUCUGUCCCACCUUCUUUGUGACGUCAUAGAACCAUCGCCUUGCUUAGCCCGACCCCGCCUCUUUUAUUUAAAUACGGCGCUCAACAUGGCGGUGCCUACUUGGUCCGUCGGCCGCUGUGUUUUCGAGCGCAGGCCAUGGAAAAGACUGUUUCUUCAAGAGCCGCGCUGUUUGGCUAACUACAGCUGCGUUUUAAUCCCUGAACCCCUUUCAGCGCGAAGUGCGUGUCGGUUAUCGCCUGAAAACCAGCUGACCUUUAACGACCCUCACCACCUCUGCUCCGGAAGUGCUUGCUGGUCCCAGGAAGCAGUGCUCAAUGUGAGGACGAGACCUCCCCCAAAGUGAACCACAGCCAUUCUCAGCAACAGGGUGCCAAGCUCUUCUGAAGAUAACAGCCAAGUUCAUAUCAGGGGGAGCCAGCAUGACGAUCUCCUCCAGGAGAAGCAACAGCUCCAAACAGCUGCAUUGAGAACCCACAAUGUUACUCCUCCUCUCCAGGUCUUCUUUUAUGCAGGCAGCUGUCCUUAGGAGGGCCAUCCAUGCUCAGCUCCACGCCGAUUCAGUCCAGCUGGUAUUUAAGUUGGCCACCAGUUACCAGUGCACCACACAUGUAUCUUCCACCUGUCUUACUAUGACUGAUCUUAUUUGAAUCCAAUUCAUUAGACUGCAGUUUUGUCUUGGCUGACUUUAUUUGAAUUUGGUAUGCUUGAUAGUAUCAACCCUAAAAGUAGAGGCAACUACUCUGAAGAUGACAAGAUGUAAAAGAUAUCCAUAAUGGUAUUAAUUAUUAACAGCUCUCAAGUCCUACAAUGUUUUCAAAGUUGUGUUUUUAUAAAAAUAGCUAGGUAAUACUAUGCUUAUCUAUAUUAAGCCCGAUGAUGUGGAGAAGUCUUGAAGAGAAAGCUCGUUCUAUCUGCUGCUUCCCCUCCCCUUCUCCCUUCAAAUCCAACUAGGUUAAGUUUUAACUUCCUAAAGGCCAUUUACAAGAAGAAGGGGGGGGGAUGAAAGGGUUAACUCCCUAACUCCCCAGAGCUAUCAGAGCAGAGCAGAAAGGAAUGACUAACUCCCCAGAGCUAUCAGAACCGAGCAAAAAAGAAUGCACCUGCAAGGUUGUUCUGUCUCAACGAGAUAAGUAAGACAAGUAACUGUUCUGUUCUGGGCACAUAGUGACUGGGCUAGGACCCCCAGUCUCCAUGGUUACUCAACCCCCAAAUCCCUCCAAUCAACUUCUGCCAAGUCCUAUGCUGCUAAAAAUUAACCAAUGCAAUCUGCUUCUGUAAACUUGCUUGCCUCCCGCUUGCGCCCUUAAAAACCCUGCACAAUUCCCCCUCGGGGCCCUCCACACUUGUUUGCCUGGGGGACCCCAUGCGCAUGGAAAUAAACUUUUUACUCCUCACUACGAGCUGAGUCCUUGGGGUCUUCUUCCCUGCGACAUGGACCUUACAGUCUAUUGAAAAUAAC